This 564-nucleotide ribosomal RNA is filed under the name uncultured bacterium. RNAcentral describes it as "partial 16S ribosomal RNA". It matches the Rfam family "Bacterial small subunit ribosomal RNA", at positions 355 to 912 of the family's 1533-position model. The record is from RNAcentral.
UGGGGAAUUUUGGACAAUGGGCGAAAGCCUGAUCCAGCAAUGCCGCGUGUGUGAAGAAGGCCUUCGGGUUGUAAAGCACUUUUGUCCGGAAAGAAAUCCUUGGCUCUAAUACAGUCGGGGGAUGACGGUACCGGAAGAAUAAGCACCGGCUAACUACGUGCCAGCAGCCGCGGUAAUACGUAGGGUGCAAGCGUUAAUCGGAAUUACUGGGCGUAAAGCGUGCGCAGGCGGUUUGCUAAGACCGAUGUGAAAUCCCCGGGCUCAACCUGGGAACUGCAUUGGUGACUGGCAGGCUAGAGUAUGGCAGAGGGGGGUAGAAUUCCACGUGUAGCAGUGAAAUGCGUAGAGAUGUGGAGGAAUACCGAUGGCGAAGGCAGCCCCCUGGGCCAAUACUGACGCUCAUGCACGAAAGCGUGGGGAGCAAAACAGGAUUAGAUACCCUGGUAGUCCACGCCCUAAACGAUGUCAACUAGUUGUUGGGGAUUCAUUUCCUUAGUAACGUAGCUAACGCGUGAAGUUGACCGCCUGGGGAGUACGUCGCAAGAUUAAAACUCAAAUGAAUUG